GACACUAUGUGUUGUUGGGUAGGGGAGCGUUCUGUAAGCCUGUGAAGGUGUGUCGUGAGGCAUGCUGGAGGUAUCAGAAGUGCGAAUGCUGACAUAAGUAACGAUAAAGCGGGUGAAAAGCCCGCUCGCCGGAAGACCAAGGGUUCCUGUCCAACGUUAAUCGGGGCAGGGUGAGUCGACCCCUAAGGCGAGGCCGAAAGGCGUAGUCGAUGGGAAACGGGUUAAUAUUCCCGUACUUGGUGUUACUGCGAAGGGGGGACGGAGAAGGCUAUGUUGGCCGGGCGACGGUUGUCCCGGUUUAAGCGUGUAGGUGUGUGUUCCAGGUAAAUCCGGUUCACUUUAACACUGAGGCGUGACGACGAGGCACUACGGUGCUGAAGCAACAAAUGCCCUGCUUCCAGGAAAAGCCUCUAAGCAUCAGGUAACAUCAAAUCGUACCCCAAACCGACACAGGUGGUCAGGUAGAGAAUACCAAGGCGCUUGAGAGAACUCGGGUGAAGGAACUAGGCAAAAUGGUGCCGUAACUUCGGGAGAAGGCACGCUGACACGUAGGUGAAGUGAUUUACUCAUGGAGCUGAAGUCAGUCGAAGAUACCAGCUGGCUGCAACUGUUUAUUAAAAACACAGCACUGUGCAAACACGAAAGUGGACGUAUACGGUGUGACGCCUGCCCGGUGCCGGAAGGUUAAUUGAUGGGGUCAGCGCAAGCGAAGCUCCUGAUCGAAGCCCCGGUAAACGGCGGCCGUAACUAUAACGGUCCUAAGGUAGCGAAAUUCCUUGUCGGGUAAGUUCCGACCUGCACGAAUGGCGUAAUGAUGGCCAGGCUGUCUCCACCCGAGACUCAGUGAAAUUGAACUCGCUGUGAAGAUGCAGUGUACCCGCGGCAAGACGGAAAGACCCCGUGAACCUUUACUAUAGCUUGACACUGAACAUUGAGCCUUGAUGUGUAG
RNAcentral lists this ribosomal RNA (949 nucleotides) under Salmonella enterica. RNAcentral's name for it is "partial 23S ribosomal RNA". It matches the Rfam family "Bacterial large subunit ribosomal RNA", at positions 1210 to 2141 of the family's 2925-position model. RNAcentral also lists the same sequence under 1 other name. Lineage: Bacteria; Pseudomonadati; Pseudomonadota; Gammaproteobacteria; Enterobacterales; Enterobacteriaceae. The record is from RNAcentral.